Molecule: ribosomal RNA, 459 nt
Filed under: uncultured bacterium
Lineage: Bacteria
Description: partial 16S ribosomal RNA
Rfam family: Bacterial small subunit ribosomal RNA
Source: RNAcentral
CCUACGGGCGGCAGCAGUGAGGAAUAUUGGUCAAUGGGCGCGAGCCUGAACCAGCCAAGUCGCGUGAGGGAAGAAGGUCCUAUGGAUUGUAAACUUCUUUUGUCGAGGGGCAAAAGCCGCCACGCGUGGCGUUCCGAGAGUACUCGAAGAAAAAGCAUCGGCUAACUCCGUGCCAGCAGCCGCGGUAAUACGGAGGAUGUGAGCGUUAUCCGGAUUUAUUGGGUUUAAAGGGUGCGCAGGCGGGAUAUUAAGUCAGCGGUAAAAGUGAGAGGCUCAACCUCUUCGAGCCGUUGAAACUGGUUGUCUUGAGAGAGUGAGAGGUAUGCGGAAUGCGUGGUGUAGCGGUGAAAUGCAUAGAUAUCGCGCAGAACUCCGAUUGCGAAGGCAGCAUACCGGCGCUCAACUGACGCUCAUGCACGAAAGUGUGGGUAUCGAACAGGAUUAGAUACCCGUGUAGUC